Tyto alba (common barn owl) is the source of this 1670-nucleotide non-coding RNA. NCBI's taxonomy places the organism in Eukaryota, Metazoa, Chordata, Aves, Strigiformes, Tytonidae. The record is from Rfam.
GCUCAUUAAAUCAGUUAUGGUUCCUUUGGUCUCUCCUCUCCCACUCGCUGAAUAGCUGCGGUAACUCUAGAGCCAACACAUGCUGACGAGCACUGGGCCUCCGGGGCCGUGGGCAUUAACCAGACCCAAACCAACCCGGUCCCGCUUGGCAGCUUUUGUGACUCUAGAUGACCUCGAGCUGAUCGCAUAACCCCAUGGCAGCGACGACCCGUUCGAAUGUCUGCCCUGUCAACUGCUGGUGGUGCUGCCUGUGCCUGCUGGGGUGACCACGGGGGACAGGGAAUCAGGGUUCGAUUCGGGAGGGGGAGCCCGAGAAGCAGCUGCCACUUCCAAGGAAGGCAGCAGGCAUGCAAAUUACCCACUCCUGACCCGGGGAGGUAGUGAUGAAAAAUAACAAUACAGGACUCUUUCAAGGCCUUUUAAUUGAAAUGAGCGCAUUUUAAAUCCUCAAGUCUGGUGCCUGCAGCCACGGUAAUUCCAAAUCCAGUAGCGUAUCUUAAAGUUGCUGCAGUUAAAAAGCUUGUAGUUGGAUCUUGGGAUCAAGCUGGCGAGCCACCGCCUGUCCCAGCCCCUGCCUCUCAGCACCCCCUUGAUGUUCUUAGCUGAGUGUCCUGUGGGGCCCAAAGCACUCUGAGAAAAUUAGAGUGUUCAAAGCAGGUCAGCCGCUGGCAUACUGCAGGUAGGAAUAAUGGAACAGGACUCUGUUUCUAUUCUGUUGGUUUUCAGAAAUGGGGCUAUUAUUAGGAGUGGUGGCCAGGGGCAUUCAUAUUGUGCUGUUAGAGGUGAAAUUCUUGGACCUGCGCAAGGUGGCCUAGAGCGAAAGUGUUUGCCAAGAAUGUUCUCAUUAAUCAAGAACAAAAGUCAGAGGUUCGAACGUGAUCAGAUACCGUCAUAAUUCUGACCAUAAACGAUGCCGACUGGCGAUCCGGCGGCGUUAUUCCCAUGGCCUGCCGGGCAGCUCCCAGGAAACCCAAGUCUUUGGGUUCUGGGGGGAGUAUGGUUGCAAAACUGAAACUUAAAGGAAUUGUCAGAAGGGCACCACCAGGAGUGGAGCCUGCGGCUUAAUUUGACUCAACAUGGGAAGCCUCCCCCGUCCCGGACACAGACAGGAUUGACAGAUUGAGAGCUUUCUCAAUUCCGUGGGUGGUGGCGCACGGCUGUUAUUAGUUAGUGGAGUGAUUUGUCUGGUUAAUUCCGAUAAUGAACAAGACUCUGGCAUGCUAACUAGUUACGUGACCCCCGAGCGGUCGGCGUCCAAACUCUUAGAGGGACAAGUGGUGUUCAGCCACCCGAGAUUGAGCAAUAACAGGUCUGUGAUGCCCUUAGAUGUCCGGGGCCACAUGCGCGCUACACUGACUGGCUCAGCUGGUGCAUACCCUCCGCCGGCAGGCACGGGUAACCCGUUGAACCCCACUCGUGGUGGGGAUUGGGGAUUGCAGUUCUUCCCCAUGAAUGAGGAAUUCCCAGUAAGUCUGGGUCAUAAGCUCAUGUUGAUUUAGUUCCUGCCCUUUUUGCACACCACGUCACUACUACCAAUUGGAUGGUUUAGUGAGGUCCUUGGAUUGGCCCCAGCAAGGUCGGAGCAUUGGUGAGAUGGUCAAACUUGACUAUCUAGAGGAGGUAGUAGUCAUACCAAGGUUUCCAUAGGUGAACCUGGGGAAGGUUCAUUA